CCCGGCGAUAAAUCGCCGGGCUACAGGCAUUCUGUCCCUACGGGACG
RNAcentral lists this small RNA (47 nucleotides) under Geobacter argillaceus. RNAcentral's name for it is "Acido-Lenti-1 RNA". Lineage: Bacteria; Pseudomonadati; Thermodesulfobacteriota; Desulfuromonadia; Geobacterales; Geobacteraceae. The record is from RNAcentral.